GCUCCACCGCACCGGCAUCAAGAUCCUCCCCUGUCCGCCUGCAUCCACCGCCGGCCAUCCACCACGCACAACACUUCGGCAGUUCAAAAAUCACAGGUUAUCAUCAAUAUGAGUGAAUCUCAAAAGAAGGUGGGAAAGAAGAAGGAUAAGAAGUCCUGUGUAUCCGGAGUCAGAUUCUAUCAAAGUUGAUCUAGAAAAUGAUAGCUCAAUGAAUAUCGAUGUGGAAGAUGAUGAAGUUCACUCUGUGGAGGUAGAUGAUACAAACGAUAGUGAUGAUAACAAAUCAGGAGUAAAGAGACAACGAAAGGAAAGAUCUAUUGUGUGGCAAUACUUCACUAAACUUAAAAAGAAAGCAGUCGGUGGAAAAGUUCCAAGCAAGUGCAACAAAUGUAAUCAUGUUAUCAUAUAUGAUAGCAAGCAAGGUACGGGAAAUCAUUCGAAACACAUAAAAUCUUGCUAUGGUUCUAGUUUCAAAAAUGUUG
RNAcentral lists this long non-coding RNA (482 nucleotides) under Helianthus annuus (common sunflower). RNAcentral's name for it is "hypothetical non coding rna". Lineage: Eukaryota; Viridiplantae; Streptophyta; Magnoliopsida; Asterales; Asteraceae. The record is from RNAcentral.